This 440-nucleotide ribosomal RNA is filed under the name uncultured bacterium. RNAcentral's name for it is "partial 16S ribosomal RNA". It matches the Rfam family "Bacterial small subunit ribosomal RNA", at positions 338 to 795 of the family's 1533-position model. The record is from RNAcentral.
CCUACGGGAGGCAGCAGUAGGGAAUAUUGCUCAAUGGGGGAAACCCUGAAGCAGCAACGCCGCGUGGAGGAUGAAGGUUUUCGGAUUGUAAACUCCUUUUGUUAGAGAAGAUAAUGACGGUAUCUAACGAAUAAGCCCCGGCUAACUCCGUGCCAGCAGCCGCGGUAAUACGGAGGGUGCAAGCGUUACUCGGAAUCACUGGGCGUAAAGAGCGCGUAGGCGGGGAAGCAAGUCAGAUGUGAAAUCCUAUGGCUUAACCAUAGAACUGCAUUUGAAACUGUUAUUCUAGAGUAUGGGAGGGGUAGGCGGAAUUCUUGGUGUAGGGGUAAAAUGCGUAGAGAUCAAGAGGAAUACUCAUUGCGAAGGCGACCUGCUAGAACAUAACUGACGCUGAUGCGCGAAAGCGUGGGGAGCAAACAGGAUUAGAUACCCUUGUAGUC